Molecule: transfer RNA, 86 nt
Filed under: Kribbella albertanoniae
Lineage: Bacteria; Bacillati; Actinomycetota; Actinomycetes; Propionibacteriales; Kribbellaceae
Description: tRNA-Leu
Rfam family: tRNA
About the family: Transfer RNA (tRNA) molecules are approximately 80 nucleotides in length. Their secondary structure includes four short double-helical elements and three loops (D, anti-codon, and T loops).
Source: RNAcentral
GCCGAGUUGGCGGAACGGCAUACGCGAUGGUCUCAAACACCAUUGCCCGCAAGGGCUUGUGGGUUCGAAUCCCACACUCGGCACCA